UAAAGCGUGCGCAGGCGGUUUUGUAAGACUGUCGUGAAAUCCCCGGGCUCAACCUGGGAAUGGCGAUGGUGACUGCAAGGCUAGAGUUUGGCAGAGGGGGGUAGAAUUCCACGUGUAGCAGUGAAAUGCGUAGAUAUGUGGAGGAACACCGAUGGCGAAGGCAGCCCCCUGGGUCAAAACUGCGCUCAUGCACGAAAGCGUGGGGAGCAAACAGGAUUAGAUACCCCAGU
Molecule: ribosomal RNA, 230 nt
Filed under: uncultured bacterium
Lineage: Bacteria
Description: partial 16S ribosomal RNA
Rfam family: Bacterial small subunit ribosomal RNA
Source: RNAcentral